RNAcentral lists this ribosomal RNA (497 nucleotides) under uncultured bacterium. RNAcentral describes it as "partial 16S ribosomal RNA". It matches the Rfam family "Bacterial small subunit ribosomal RNA", at positions 28 to 507 of the family's 1533-position model. The record is from RNAcentral.
GAUGAACGCUGGCGGCGUGCCUAAUACAUGCAAGUCGAGCGAACAGACGAGGAGCUUGCUCCUCUGACGUUUUCGGCGGAAGGGUGAGUAACACGCGGAUAACCCAUCUAUAAGACUGGGAUAACUUCGGGAAACCGGAGCUCUUACCGGAUAAUCUAUUUAACCGCAUCGUUCAAUAGUGAAAAACGGUUUUGCUUACACUUAUGCUUGGAUCCGCGCCGCAUUAGCUAGUUGGUAAGGUAACGGCUUACCAAGGCAACGAUGGGUAGCCGACCUGAGAGGGGGACCGGCCACACGGGAACGGGGACACGGUCCAGCCUCCUACGGAAGGCAGCAGGAGGGAAUCUUCCGCAAAGGGCGAAGGCCUGACGGAGCAACGCCGCGUGAGGGAUGAAGGUCUUCGGAUCGAAAAACUCUGUUAUUAGGGAAGAACAAAUGUGUAAGUAACUAUGCACGUCUUGACGGUACCUAAUCAGAAAGCCACGGCUAACUACGUG